RNAcentral lists this ribosomal RNA (430 nucleotides) under Pseudomonadota bacterium. RNAcentral's name for it is "Proteobacteria bacterium partial 16S ribosomal RNA". It matches the Rfam family "Bacterial small subunit ribosomal RNA", at positions 355 to 776 of the family's 1533-position model. The record is from RNAcentral. Lineage: Bacteria; Pseudomonadati; Pseudomonadota.
UGGGGAAUAUUGGACAAUGGGGGGAACCCUGAUCCAGCCAUGCCGCGUGUGUGAAGAAGGCCUUAUGGUUGUAAAGCACUUUAAGCGAGGAGGAGGGUACUGGUAUUAAUACUACCAGGUACUGGACGUUACUCGCAGAAUAAGCACCGGCUAACUCUGUGCCAGCAGCCGCGGUAAUACAGAGGGUGCGAGCGUUAAUCGGAUUUACUGGGCGUAAAGCGUGCGUAGGCGGCUAAUUGAGUCGGAUGUGAAAUCCCCGAGCUUAACUUGGUAAUUGCAUUCGAUACUGGUUAGCUAGAGUGUGGGAGACGAUGGUAGAAUUCCAGGUGUAGCGGUGAAAUGCGUAGAGAUCUGGAGGAAUACCGAUGGCGAAGGCAGCCAUCUGGCCUAACACUGACGCUGAGGUACGAAAGCAUGGGGAGCAAACAGG